AGGAGCAAAGCCUUAUUCUGUACUGAGAUCUGCAUCAGGUGAGCUUAUUACGAGAUUGACAAGAACAGAGGGAGCAAUGUGAUCUGGUGGUCAUUUCAUCAGGUUGCAUUCCAUUUCGGUGCGUUAGGCCCAGACAUCACCAUCACCGAUGCAAAGACAGGAGAAAAAGUUACAUGUGAAACAAUGCACUAUUCUGAAUGCAGGGCUUGAGCAUUGAUUGCUUUGUACCACCCCCACAAAGCAAGCUGGCCAAGAUCUCAUGACGCAAAUGGAUGUUCCAAAGCGACUGCCUGCCACCACGCUGCUCCUCCUAGUCAAAACGGGGAGACUCAGUUGACCUUCAGCCAUAGAAGCAGGACAUGCCAUAUCCCAAAUGAAAGAAAUUCAUGCCUGUGAUGAGUAAAAUUCCAAUUAAAAUUCAUCACCAGCAACAGGCCUUAUAUCUUCCUUGGACAAUGUGAAUCAUUUUUGAUGCUGGGAAAUGCACUUCAUAAACCUCCAUUGUCGUAGAAUGUCUACUUCCACGAGAACUUGUUUUAUAUUAGUAAAUAAAACA
Non-coding RNA from Castor canadensis (American beaver), 556 nucleotides. Lineage: Eukaryota; Metazoa; Chordata; Mammalia; Rodentia; Castoridae. The record is from RefSeq and is a predicted model, not a curated record.